Molecule: ribosomal RNA, 165 nt
Filed under: Canavalia parviflora
Lineage: Eukaryota; Viridiplantae; Streptophyta; Magnoliopsida; Fabales; Fabaceae
Description: 5.8S ribosomal RNA
Rfam family: 5.8S ribosomal RNA
About the family: 5.8S ribosomal RNA (5.8S rRNA) is a component of the large subunit of the eukaryotic ribosome. It is transcribed by RNA polymerase I as part of the 45S precursor that also contains 18S and 28S rRNA.
Source: RNAcentral
UAAAAUGACUCUCGGCAACGGAUAUCUCGGCUCUUGCAUCGAUGAARAACGUAGCAAAAUGCGAUACUUGGUGUGAAUUGCAGAAUCCCGUGAACCAUCGAGUCUUUGAACGCAAGUUGCGCCCGAAGCCAUUAGGUUGAGGGCACGCCUGCCUGGGUGUCACAC